RNAcentral lists this long non-coding RNA (1724 nucleotides) under Brassica rapa (field mustard). RNAcentral's name for it is "long non-coding RNA (BRAP_LNC007066)". The record is from RNAcentral. Lineage: Eukaryota; Viridiplantae; Streptophyta; Magnoliopsida; Brassicales; Brassicaceae.
GACAAUCGAAAUAAAACACAUGGCGUUGCGUGAUUGGGUCUGCUCGUCUGUUGCGGAUCAAUGUUUAAAAACAGAGUUUUAGAUUCUUUUCAAUUCAUUUAGAAAUUUGUGUAAAACUCUUAAAAUCUUGAGUACUUCUCUGUGUAAAUCUCGAGUUCAUUGUUGGGAAAAAUUUUUCUACUUCACGAUCUUUUGCAAGCGAGCUACGUUUAAGUAUUUUAGGAACAUCCAUUCGGAUUAUCAUUUCAUCAAAUACAGUUUUUAUGUAUCAAUAUCCUGCAUCAAAGACAUUAUAAAGUGUCCGAAGAGAAGCUCUUUUCCCCAGCGAAAAAUGUGUUUCUGCCCUAAUUCGAAGAUUUUAAUGUUUUUGUUAUGCAAUUUUGGGGUUAUGUUUCAAUUUUAAUUACGGGUUGGUUUAAUAUUAGUUUACGUAUUUUUGGUUCUUUACUUUUAUAAAUUAGGUACUUGAAUUAGUUUUAAACUCGCUAUUAGGCUUGGAAAAAACUUUUACCAAUGUUUUUUUUUUUUUUUGUAAAAGGGCUUUCAACUUUUACCAAUGUUAGUUAUGUUAUGUUACUCGCGAGACUAAUAUAGAUGCAUGGCGAUGGUUACUUAAUUUGUGUAUUCAAAAACUGAUAUAACUAAAAACUCUUUAAUUCUUUUUGUGUAUUUUUAUGUACAGUACAAAAUAGUUUGGGAAUUUUUCUGGAAACUCAAUAAGUUCAAAUACUUUGUAGAAAUUGUUGAAAAGUCAGUCAUUAAUGGGACUUACUGAAUUUCUGUAGGCUAAUUUUUUCUUUAUGUCAAAAAGCUAAAAUUAUAUAGUAUAAAAAUAAUUUAAAACUGCUUCUAGUGAAAAAAAUGCUCUAAUUUAAAUUACACCGAAUUAAUAAUUUUUAUUUUGAAGUCCAGCUAAGUAUAAUUAUUUCACAUAACAAAACAGGGGGACUGGUAGACUCUCUCUUCUCUCUAAACCUAGUGAGAGAGAGUGAGUCGCGGUGGUUCCCUACCGGUGAGAACCUUCUGGCUGGUGUAGUCUAUUGACAAGUAUGCUUUGACUCUGGUAUACGGUAGUCCCCGUGAUGCUGUGUAGCCGGCUCUGGAUUCUAGUGGUUCGCGCUUGUCUCUGGUGGAACCAUCCGGCGUAGUAGUUUGAUCUCGGUUGGUGUUGAAGUUGUGAUAAGAAGAUCAUGGGGUAUGGUCUUAGGAUUGGCGUGUUCUGUCUCAAGUUUGGUUAGCGAUGGCGCUAACUGAUCAAUUACGGGUUUUGGUCUGAGUUUUUUGGAUGAGAUCUCGAUUUUAAUCGAUUGAUUCUCUCUGAAAUUCAGAUUGUCUGGCUUACUGCUGAAUUUCCUAAACCUCCAAUACAGUUGUUGGAGGUGGCUUUUCGGUGGUUGUGGGUGAAGUCCCGGUGGAAUCCGGUGUUUAACUGCUUUGUUUGGUUGGUGAUGGCUAUUAUGUCGGAGAAGAUGAUGGAGGGUGGUGUUCCUGGUGUGACGCCGGUGUGAUUCGGUGGUUCCGGUGCAUCGCCGUUUGGUCUCCGGCGUAGAAUCUCGAAUUGACGAAAGCGGUGAAGGAGAAAGGACGCGUGGUCCCUCGUGGUGUGAGUUUCAGACACUUGUUCCGUUUCUUUCUGAUCUCCACACGUGGUUGGGUUUGUCCUUUGUUUGGGCUUUUGUCUUUAUUUUAUGUUUUUUUAUAUCUUUUGUAUAGGCUUCUGUUUG